Long non-coding RNA from Vicia villosa (hairy vetch), 4271 nucleotides. RefSeq lists it as uncharacterized. The record is from RefSeq and is a predicted model, not a curated record. The transcript is spliced from 10 exons. Lineage: Eukaryota; Viridiplantae; Streptophyta; Magnoliopsida; Fabales; Fabaceae.
GCUUCCCAAUCUACCUCAUGGAAUUACGUUUCUCUCUCAUUUUUUCUCUUUCACGUUUCUCUUUCUCUCUCACUUUUUCUCUUUUUCUCUUUUUCUCUCUUUUUCUCUUUCUCUCUACCGAAGGCGGGGUUGUUCUUCCUCUUCCUCAAUCUUCUCCAUAAAACUUCUUCCUCUUUCUAUCUCUCUUCCCUCUAUUUGUUAUUCUCUUUCUCUAUCGUUGAGAUGAAACUCUGAUAUCUGAUUAUGUAACGAUGCACAAAAUUAGGGUUUCAAAAAUCUUAUUUAGCCUAAAAGAAGAAAUACGAAAUCAGGACUUUGGAGAAAGCACCGGUAUCCUUUUUGUAUUCUACGUACCAUGAUGUGAGAGUGAUGGAGUUUGCAUAUGGUGAACAAUAUCCGUUUUUUGAGAACUGUGUCUUGAAUGCUUAUAUAUGCAGAAAAAUUAGGGUUUAAUAUUUGUUAACAGGCCUUUCUGCAAUCAUCCUCUCUCUCUCUCUAUUCUUAAAACACGUGCUCAUUUUAUGUUGUUUUCUCGAGUAUUUUCUUUGACUCAUUUCGGUUUUUUGAACUGAUACGGAUUCUAUUUUUUUACUGGUGCAGGUCCGGUUUGAAUGUGUAUUUGGACUCAUAAGCUCGGUUUGGACUAUCUACGUUUUUUCGGUGUAGAUUCAUACUUAUUCUGUUUUAUUGAAAAACCUUUUAUCAUCUAGAAAUUGGAGGAAGUAUUUAGAGAGCGCUUCAAAGGAUAGUGCAGGCAGAGAGUUUUUAGGGAGUGGAGUUUGACUGAGAUAUCUGUGGAGUGAGAGAGGACUAAGGUUCGAGAGAAAUCAGGGAUUGGAGGUGGACUUAGAAGUUGAGGGAAUCGUGGGAUUGAGGUGGCUCAAAGUCCCUAUUUUCCAGGCUUUUCAAAUAUGAAUCAUGAGGCUGUGAUUCAAAUCUUACUAAUGAUAACAUAUUGUGUAAAAAAAUGAGGAAGAUGAUGAUGAAAUAGGGUUUCAUGAAUGUUAGUGUUGUAUCAGGUUUACUCAGUUGCUAUGAUUCCAAGAGUACAUUUGAGGAAAGAGAGGAGAUAGGGCAGCAUCGAAGGUAAUCGUUUCCCCUUCUAUCAAUCUAAAUGAUCGUCGAUUAGUUGUAUAACUUAAUCUGAAUUUUUAGGGCGAAAUAUGUUGAAUGGGAGGAAGAAUGUCGCCAAUUAUUUCCGCUUGUGGGAAGUGGUAGAUUUAUCACACCACCUGUAGUUACUAACGAUGGUCAACCGAUUGAAUAUCCAAUUGUUCUGUUAGAAAAUAAUCCAUAAAAUGGAGUAAUUAUAUGGUUUAGUUUAUGCCUUUUGAUGUUUAGGGUUCAGUUUAUUCUUUUUAAUUAUAUAGGUUUGGAUGAAGAAUAGUUGAAGGUGUUAACUUUCCAUAGGAUGGGUGCGCGUAUCAACCGAUGGUUUGGUGAUAUUUACUGGGGAUUGUGGCAGCAUGUCUUACGCAAUACAGAGCUUACUCCGCCGAUGAAGUGAUGGCAUUGCUUCAGCAGGGAAAUCGUAAUAGAACUACGGAACCAACUCGUGCAAAUGAAACAACUUCACGUUCUCAUGUUGUUUUGCAGGUACACUUUUGAAGGUUGUUUAUGGAAAAAAUGCAAAAACCCUUCUAUGUUGUGAUUGUAACGUAUGCUUAAUUAGAGGUUAAAAAUCAUAAACAAAUGGAGGAUAGCAGCAAACCCAAUUCCCGUCGGAAGGGUCUCCGACCAAAAUCAUCGAAGGGUCUUUGAACCGGCUGAAGUUAGUCUGUUUGUAAUUAUAUAAAACAAAUACUGAGGCUGAACUUAGGUUACUGAGCUCUAUCAAAUGUAUAACCACUAAAUCAUGUUAUAUUAUGUUAUUUAGGUUAUUAGGUCUUAUCACGGCCAUCUUAGUGGUGUUUAUUGCUUGGCUAUUUAUCCCACAAUUGACAUUUUGCUGACUGGGGGACGUGAUUCUGUCUGCCGGGUCUGGGACAUAUGUAAUAAAAUGUAGAUUCACGCUCUUUCAGGUCAUGAGAACACCGUCUGCUAUGUGUUCAUGCGGCCAAUGGUAUGUAGAUUCUUCUGUUGUCUAUAUUUUUUAUUUUGACAAUCAUAAUGUUGUACGGUCAGUAGUCUACAUGUCCCCAGUUCUGUCCUCUGACAUGCCGAUAUCAGUAACACUGGCAUGUAGGUUAUCUUCUGACUGGCUUAGUUCCACUACAAGCUCUUUGAUAUGAUAGAUGUGUGCACAUACUUUAGCAUUCAAGUUCAGCUUUGAGAUAUGUCCUAAUAUAGUUUUAUACUUUUAAACCUUCAUUUUUCCCUACUCUGGCUUGGGUUUAUUUGCAAAAAGGCGACUAAAAAACAGCGGACGAACAUUAUAGCUCUCAGAAGUAUUAAGCAUGCAUUCAAUCCUGAUCAUCAUCGUGAAGGUAGUGUGUAUGUUUUUUUAAUUUUAUGCUACUAAUGGAUGAAAUUGUAUGUGAACUUUCGUGUUUCAGUUUACCGAUUUAAGGCAUGUCUGAGCUUGCCCUCCACGUGUUUGAUGAAAAGCAAGAAUGACGCAGUGGUUUUCGUUGCUGCGUUUCAUGGUCUGAGGAUUGAAAGGCCCGGUCAGGAUCUCUAAAAUUUAUGUGAAGCUUGAGAGAAGCAGAGCACAGGCUGAUCCCGGUAUUCAAAUUGUGAGAAGUCAGGAAAUAGAUGAAAAUUAGAGGUUGAAUUAAAAUUAGAUUCCAAACAUUUAAAGAAUGCGACACGUCGGUUGAAUUAAAACAUGCUGCAGAGAGAGAAUGAUCAUUCAAACUGGAAGAAGACACGAGUCACAAUACCAUCGGCGACAAGGAAAGCGAAGAAAUUUUCUAUUGGCUUCUUAAAGCCUACUACUUACUAUUUUUUAGAGCUGAAAAAUGGAAUAGGAUCCACCAUAUCUUUACACGAUGAUGAUGGAGUUGUAACUUGCAAAAUGAAGGGAAAAGGAUCACUAUUACGUUGAAUUUGUAGUGUAAAGAAUUAUUAGAAAGGGGAAAGAAUGAUGUAUGGUCGUGUACGUGAGAGUGAGUACAAUGAUCGUACAUGAGAGUGCGUCUAUAGCACAGGUUUGGAAGUUUGCUCACAUGUGAAUCUUUUCAUGCAAAUGUACAUGCUGGAAAUCCGUGGCUUCUAUGUGAUGGCCGUAUUGAAUUUCUUGACUUUGGUAUGCUUUUUCUGUGAGAAUCAAUGAAAUUAGAAAUAUCUAAAUAUGUCUUAAGGGAUAGUUGUUCAUGACAUACAUAACAUUUUGAUGAAUUGAUGUUUAUAGGAUUAACUGUUAGCCUAUAAGUUAUUUUGUAUAAUAUUUUACUAAGGUAUUCUUACUGAUCCUACGCGUUAUAUUUUAAUGGUCCAUUAAUAGUUAGUUUUCUAAUUAGCAUUUUAUUAGGGAUUCAGUUACUACUGUAACCAUUAUAUAAUGAUAUGAUUCAUUUCAUUCUAUAAUUUUGUUUUUCAUAUUUAUAUUUUUACUACAAUUUUGUUUUUCUUAACUUAUAUAUUUAUCUUUAACUACUUUUCAUAUUUUUCAUUUCUUACAAUUUAAUUUAAAUGUUUUCUAUUUUAAGUAUCUCAAUAUGAGAAAAUAUAUAUGUCUCUUAUAAAUUAAUUUAGGUGGACAAUUAUAUUCAGACAGAGGGAAUAUAAUAUUAAUUGGAAAGAGUUAUUUUUAAAUUAAUAAAUAUAUUUUAAUAUAUUUUUUAAUAAAUGGGAACAAUUUUUUUAAAUCCAAAUAUAAAUUAAAAUAUGUUUUUUAAUAAACUCUUUCGGUUAAAUAAUUUAAUAUUUCUUUUUUACAUUCUUAUUAUAUUGAUUAUUAACGGGACAUGAAGUUAUUGAUCAAAAUAUUGAUUAUUAACGGGAUAUGAAGUUACUAAUCAAAAUAUUUUUUAUUAAUUCUAUCUUGAAUUAUUAUUUUUUCAUGGAUAACCAGACAUUCUUUAUUAAAAAAUAUAUAUCUGAAACAAAUGCGUGUCACGUAUCAGAACCCGUGCGAACGCACGGGUUUGUUACUAGUUAUUGAGAGUUAUUAGUCGAUCUCUCACAUGACUUUCAAGUUAAAAAUCAAUUUGGCACAUUUAAUGAGACGUUACAAUCAAAACUGCUAAAAAGUCUAGUUUUCCAAUGUUAUUAGGAAAAAAAUUAUAUGCAAUAUGAAUACACCACUUCACUAACAUCAAAGAGGUCAAACCCACAAAGACCUAAUGAACCUCCACAAGCGUUGGGAAUACCAACAUAUCCUGAUCCUC